CCGGCGACCGGCGCACGGGUGAGUAACACGUAUGCAACCUGCCCGUUUCAGCGGGAUAACCCGGAGAAAUCCGGCCUAAUACCGCAUGUGGCCGAGGGGAGGCAUCUUCUUUCGGCCAAAGGAGGCAACUCCGGAGACGGAUGGGCAUGCGUGACAUUAGCUUGUUGGCGGGGUAACGGCCCACCAAGGCGACGAUGUCUAGGGGUUCUGAGAGGAAGGUCCCCCACACUGGUACUGAGACACGGACCAGACUCCUACGGAAGGCAGCAG
This 270-nucleotide ribosomal RNA is filed under the name uncultured bacterium. RNAcentral's name for it is "partial 16S ribosomal RNA". It matches the Rfam family "Bacterial small subunit ribosomal RNA", at positions 88 to 354 of the family's 1533-position model. The record is from RNAcentral.